GAGUGAGGGAGGGGGUGACUAGUGACAGAGUGAGGAAGGGAGUGGGUGACUAGUGACAGAGUGAGGGAUGGGGUGACUAGUGACAGUCACCACCUCCUUCUCUCUGUCACUGUGUCACCCCCUUCCUCACUCUCACUGUCACCCCUUUCCUCACUCUGUCACUAGUCACCCACUCCCUUCCUCACUCUGUCACUAGUCACCCACUCUCUCACUCUGUCACCAGUCAUCCCUUCCUUCCCUCACUC
This is a non-coding RNA of Pelobates cultripes (western spadefoot toad), 245 nucleotides long. Lineage: Eukaryota; Metazoa; Chordata; Amphibia; Anura; Pelobatidae. The record is from the annotation of a GenBank genome assembly.